Xenia sp. Carnegie-2017 is the source of this 670-nucleotide long non-coding RNA. RefSeq lists it as uncharacterized. NCBI's taxonomy places the organism in Eukaryota, Metazoa, Cnidaria, Anthozoa, Malacalcyonacea, Xeniidae. The record is from RefSeq and is a predicted model, not a curated record. The transcript has 3 exons.
AUCAUAUGACAUUCUUCCUGAGAUCAAUACUUUCAUUUUCUAGUCUUCGUAUUCAUUGGAGAAGACGCCUUACGAAAAUUUCGAUAAAAUUGUGCAAAGCAUUUUCAUCAAAAGUGAAUCAAGAGCGCCGACGACGACGUUGAUAACGUUGAUCAAGAAUUAGACAGUGUUUUAUGUACUGAACAAGGAUGAGAAGACCAAUUUGAUUUUUAAGUCAACACAGAAGCGUUUUGUUAACUUCCGUAGUUUUUGUUGAGUGGUGUGUGAGUAUGAGCCAAUGUAAGGAAGUUUGAAAUAGUAUAUGUUUUGUUUGUUUUGGUUAGGUUCGUCUGAUGCUUGUGUGUCUGAUUGUAUUUUGUCGUUAAAUGUAAUUUAAUACACUUAACGAUAGUCACAUACAUAUAUAUAUAUCCUGUAAAUAGCUAAUCACCUUCAUUCGAUGUACUGAAGAUGGCAUAAGCAUGCCGAAACAUGUUUACGUUAAAAAAACUCGUCGUUCAUUUAAAAUGUCUGAUAUCUAUCGUGCUUUUAAGAAAUUAUAAUUUAUAUCUGUUGAUUUGCAACUGAAACAACAUACUAAAGUCAAUAUUUUAUAUGUGUUCUUCAUCUUUUGUAACAUAUCAAUGAUUAUAGACAAUGUAUGGUAGCUAAAUAUAAUAUUUUUAUAAGA